GAAAUGCGAUAAGUAAUGUGAAUUGCAGAAUUCAGUGAAUCAUCGAAUCUUUGAACGCACAUUGCGCCCGCCAGUAUUCUGGCGGGCAUGCCUGUCCGAGCGUCAUUUCAACCAUCAAGCCCCCGGGCUUGUGUUGGGGACCUGCGGCUGCCCGCAGGCCCUGAAAACCAGUGGCGGGCUCGCUGUCACACCGAGUGUAGUAGCAAUCACCUCGCUCAGGGCGUGCUGCGGGUUCCGGCCGUUAAACAGCCUUACAAAACCCAAGGUUGACCUCGGAUCAGGUAGGAAGGCCCGCUGAACUUAAGC
RNAcentral lists this unclassified non-coding RNA (306 nucleotides) under plant metagenome. RNAcentral's name for it is "partial contains 5.8S ribosomal RNA, internal transcribed spacer 2, and large subunit ribosomal RNA". The stretch from base 1 to 105 matches the Rfam family "5.8S ribosomal RNA", at positions 50 to 154 of the family's 154-position model. The record is from RNAcentral.